UUCUUACCCACUGUGCCACCAGAGAAGUCCUGUGCUUUUUGAGGAACUGCCAAAAUGUUUUCCACAGUGGUUGCACAAUUUACAUUCCUACCAGCAACAAACAAGGACUCCAGUUUUUCUGCAUCCUCACUAACACUUGAUCAAAAUCUCCACUAUGUUAUCUUUAUUGCAAACCAAGCCUUGAGUGACUUACGUCACUUCUCCUGUUACAGUUUCAGAUCCUGGCCAGCAUCACCAUCACUGCCAAGCCCACCCUCACACCCGCUAGCCGAAAAGACGUCGUCGUUUAGUUGCUAGUGUUUCUGUUCGGUUGCUCAGUGUCUGACUCUUUGCGACCUCAUGGACGACAGCACACCGGACUUCCCUGUCCUUCACCAUCUCCCAGAACUUGCUCGUGGCCAACUCUUUGCAACCCCAUGAACUGUAGCCCACCAGGCUCCUCUGUCCGUGGGAUUUCCCAGAAUGCUGGAGCAGCAUGCGUGGGGCAGACAACGGGACCCCAGCCCCAGAGGGAGCAUCCGUCCCCGCUUCACCACUGCCAGAGUCACAGGAGGGAGCUCCCAGCCAGAGAAGGCUCCUGCCCUCGAGUGAAGGUG
Molecule: long non-coding RNA, 596 nt
Organism: Bos taurus (domestic cattle)
Lineage: Eukaryota; Metazoa; Chordata; Mammalia; Artiodactyla; Bovidae
Source: Ensembl